This 406-nucleotide ribosomal RNA is filed under the name uncultured bacterium. RNAcentral describes it as "partial 16S ribosomal RNA". It matches the Rfam family "Bacterial small subunit ribosomal RNA", at positions 29 to 526 of the family's 1533-position model. The record is from RNAcentral.
ACGAACGCUGGCGGCUGCUUAACACAUGCAAGUCGAACGGAGUGGCGAACGGGUGAGUAACGCGUGAGCAACCUGCCUAUGACAGUGGGAUAGCCUCGGGAAACCGGGAUUAAUACCGCAUAGUCAUAGAUGGGCUUGCGUCUGAUUAGCUAGUUGGUGAGAUAACCGCCCACCAAGGCGACGAUCAGUAGCCGGGAUGAGAGGAAGAACGGCGACAUUGGAACGGAGACACGGUGCAAAAUCCUACGGGAGGCAGCAGUGGGGAAUAUUGCACAAUGGGGGAAACCCUGAUGCAGCGACGCCGCGUGGACGAAGAAGGUAUUCGUAUCGUAAAGUUCUGUCCUAUGGGAAGCAGUACCAUAGAAGAAAGCUCCGGCUAAAUACGUGCCAGCAGCCGCGGUAAUAC